Molecule: ribosomal RNA, 674 nt
Filed under: uncultured Actinomycetes bacterium
Lineage: Bacteria; Bacillati; Actinomycetota; Actinomycetes
Description: bacterial SSU rRNA
Rfam family: Bacterial small subunit ribosomal RNA
Source: RNAcentral
GACGAACGCUGGCGGCGUGCUUAACACAUGCAAGUCGAGCGGAAAGGCCACUUCGGUGGUACUCGAGCGGCGAACGGGUGAGUAACACGUGAGUAAUCUGCCCCUGGCUUCGGGAUAGCCACCGGAAACGGUGAUUAAUACCGGAUAUGACAUUCCCUCGCAUGGGGGUGUGUGGAAAGUUUUUCGGCCAGGGAUGUGCUCGCGGCCUAUCAGCUUGAUGGUGAGGUAAUGGCUCACCAUGGCUUCGACGGGUAGCCGGCCUGAGAGGGUGACCGGUCACACUGGGACUGAGACACGGCCCAGACUCCUACGGGAGGCAGCAGUGGGGAAUAUUGGACAAUGGGCGGAAGCCUGAUCCAGCAACGCCGCGUGAGGGAUGACGGCCUUCGGGUUGUAAACCUCUUUCAGUACCGACGAAGCGCAAGUGACGGUAGGUACAGAAGAAGCACCGGCCAACUACGUGCCAGCAGCCGCGGUAAUACGUAGGGUGCGAGCGUUGUCCGGAAUUAUUGGGCGUAAAGGGCUCGUAGGCGGUUUGUCGCGUCGGGAGUGAAAACGCCGUGCUUAACACGGCGCUUGCUUUCGAUACGGGCAGACUAGAGGUAUUCAGGGGAGAACGGAAUUCCUGGUGUAGCGGUGAAAUGCGCAGAUAUCAGGAGGAACACCGGUGGCGA